AUUGAACAUAAGAGUUUGAUCCUGGCUCAGAUUGAACGCUGGCGGCAUGCUUUACACAUGCAAGUCGGACGGCAGCACAGGGAAGCUUGCUUCUCGGGUGGCGAGUGGCGAACGGGUGAGUAACAUAUCGGAACGUACCGGGUAGCGGGGGAUAACUGAUCGAAAGAUCAGCUAAUACCGCAUACGUCUUGAGAGGGAAAGCAGGGGACCUUCGGGCCUUGCGCUAUCCGAGCGGCCGAUAUCUGAUUAGCUGGUUGGCGGGGUAAAGGCCCACCAAGGCGACGAUCAGUAGCGGGUCUGAGAGGAUGAUCCGCCACACUGGGACUGAGACACGGCCCAGACUCCUACGGGAGGCAGCAGUGGGGAAUUUUGGACAAUGGGCGCAAGCCUGAUCCAGCCAUGCCGCGUGUCUGAAGAAGGCCUUCGGGUUGUAAAGGACUUUUGUCAGGGAAGAAAAGGCCGUUGCCAAUAUCGGCGGCUGAUGACGGUACCUGAAGAAUAAGCACCGGCUAACUACGUGCCAGCAGCCGCGGUAAUACGUAGGGUGCGAGCGUUAAUCGGAAUUACUGGGCGUAAAGCGGGCGCAGACGGUUACUUAAGCAGGAUGUGAAAUCCCCGGGCUCAACCCGGGAACUGCGUUCUGAACUGGGUGACUCGAGUGUGUCAGAGGGAGGUGGAAUUCCACGUGUAGCAGUGAAAUGCGUAGAGAUGUGGAGGAAUACCGAUGGCGAAGGCAGCCUCCUGGGAUAACACUGACGUUCAUGUCCGAAAGCGUGGGUAGCAAACAGGAUUAGAUACCCUGGUAGUCCACGCCCUAAACGAUGUCAAUUAGCUGUUGGGCAACUUGAUUGCUUGGUAGCGUAGCUAACGCGUGAAAUUGACCGCCUGGGGAGUACGGUCGCAAGAUUAAAACUCAAAGGAAUUGACGGGGACCCGCACAAGCGGUGGAUGAUGUGGAUUAAUUCGAUGCAACGCGAAGAACCUUACCUGGUUUUGACAUGUGCGGAAUCCUCCGGAGACGGAGGAGUGCCUUCGGGAGCCGUAACACAGGUGCUGCAUGGCUGUCGUCAGCUCGUGUCGUGAGAUGUUGGGUUAAGUCCCGCAACGAGCGCAACCCUUGUCAUUAGUUGCCAUCAUUCGGUUGGGCACUCUAAUGAGACUGCCGGUGACAAGCCGGAGGAAGGUGGGGAUGACGUCAAGUCCUCAUGGCCCUUAUGACCAGGGCUUCACACGUCAUACAAUGGUCGGUACAGAGGGUAGCCAAGCCGCGAGGCGGAGCCAAUCUCACAAAACCGAUCGUAGUCCGGAUUGCACUCUGCAACUCGAGUGCAUGAAGUCGGAAUCGCUAGUAAUCGCAGGUCAGCAUACUGCGGUGAAUACGUUCCCGGGUCUUGUACACACCGCCCGUCACACCAUGGGAGUGGGGGAUACCAGAAGUAGGUAGGGUAACCGCAAGGAGUCCGCUUACCACGGUAUGCUUCAUGACUGGGGUGAAGUCGUAACAAGGUAGCCGUAGGGGAACCUGCGGCUGGAUCACCUCCUUUCUAG
This 1548-nucleotide ribosomal RNA is filed under the name Neisseria gonorrhoeae. Its description in RNAcentral is "bacterial SSU rRNA". It matches the Rfam family "Bacterial small subunit ribosomal RNA". The record is from RNAcentral. Lineage: Bacteria; Pseudomonadati; Pseudomonadota; Betaproteobacteria; Neisseriales; Neisseriaceae.